Long non-coding RNA from Triticum aestivum (bread wheat), 177 nucleotides. RefSeq lists it as uncharacterized. NCBI's taxonomy places the organism in Eukaryota, Viridiplantae, Streptophyta, Magnoliopsida, Poales, Poaceae. The transcript has 2 exons. The record is from RefSeq and is a predicted model, not a curated record.
UGUUGGUCGAGGAGCGCGAAGGAAGUGGGCUGAGGGAAGUGGGGGCGGCGGCAGAAGCAGCAUGGGUGUCCUACGGUGAGCGCUUUGAGGGAUUCUGCAGAGCAGUUCUCCCCGGAGGCCUGAUGCAUCCAACCGUACAAGGAAACUUGAAAACUACACCACAACUCUUAGGCUUGC